UUUUUUUUUUUUUUUUAUUGCAAUAUCCGCCUCCCCUUGCCCCCGAAUUUUUUCUUGCGUCGGCCUUUGCGGCGACGGUCGAGCGGCAUUAUCAUAGCAACUAUAUCGAUCAUGUGUAUAUUAUAUUAUGUACAGGUUAAGUUAGGAACGGGAAAACAAUCGUGUUAAAAUAAAUGUCGGGCUAUUAGCAUCCGGUAAUGACGGACGACCGGUACGCGUCGGGUCUGCGAGUACCAUUUGUCAAACAACUUGUUAGAUCGGGACCAGUUGUUAUAUUAGGUAGUACGAAGUGUGUGUGCGCGUGCGUGCGCGGCGCACACAGUGGUCACCGCACAUAACCUCUUUCUCUCUCUCACUCGCUCCCUCUGCAAACGCAUUCCAUUCAUAAAUAUAUUAUAUACGUAUAUUUUUAAUAUUUUAUUACAGCAUUUUUUUUUUUUUUUUAUGUAUAUAUAUAUAAUAUAUACGUAUUCGUAAGACUUGAAUAUUUUAUAAACGGACAUUCCUACCUGAUUAGUGCGCGCGCUGUGGCCACGGUCUUCUAUAAUAUUAUGCCGCGUUUACUGCACGCGUGUGCGCGCCGCGUGUCAGCUACAAAGCACACAUAAAUUCCCUUUAUAAACGGAUGGUCACGUUGAAUGGAUAAUAUUUUAUGGGUAGGUUAAUAUAAUAUUAUAUUAAAAUUUCGGAUUGCGUGCAUUAUCGGGGCCAUUGUUACAUUGUAUCAGUUGUACAGAUAUCGUAUGGUUAUGUUGAAUAAUGGUCUCCGACAAUAUCUUGUCUAGCACCUUGUUAGCUAGUUAAAUUAUAGUUUAUGAAGUGGGUCCGCAAUCGAAUCACAAGGCCGGUCACGUACAAGUUUGAAAGUUAAUUUUAACUUAACUAAAAAGCUAAGUUAAUUUUAACUUAGUUUUUAACCAUUUAAUUUUGUGAUUUUUUUUUUUCUGCGUAAUUAGAACCGAACCCGCCCAAAUGAAGCCCAUGUGCAACAUGCAUGUAGCAUUUAUUUUGUUUUAUUAAAAAUGUUGAUAUCAACAACACAGUUGGAUAGUAUUUUGUAUGUAAUAUUCUUAGUACAGUAUUUAUGGAAUUUAUGGAAC
This is a non-coding RNA of Cinara cedri, 1100 nucleotides long. The record is from the annotation of a GenBank genome assembly. Lineage: Eukaryota; Metazoa; Arthropoda; Insecta; Hemiptera; Aphididae.